Molecule: ribosomal RNA, 200 nt
Filed under: uncultured bacterium
Lineage: Bacteria
Description: partial 16S ribosomal RNA
Rfam family: Bacterial small subunit ribosomal RNA
Source: RNAcentral
AUUGAACGCUGGCGGCAUGCCUUACACAUGCAAGUCGAACGGCAGCACGGGAGCAAUCCUGGUGGCGAGUGGCGAACGGGUGAGUAAUACAUCGGAACGUGCCCAAUCGUGGGGGAUAACGCAGCGAAAGCUGUGCUAAUACCGCAUGAGAUCUACGGAUGAAAGCAGGGGACCGCAAGGCCUUGCGCGAAUGGAGCGGC